Molecule: ribosomal RNA, 407 nt
Filed under: uncultured bacterium
Lineage: Bacteria
Description: bacterial SSU rRNA
Rfam family: Bacterial small subunit ribosomal RNA
Source: RNAcentral
AGAUUAGACGUUACCUGCAGAAUAAGCACCGGCUAACUCUGUGCCAGCAGCCGCGGUAAUACAGAGGGUGCGAGCGUUAAUCGGAAUUACUGGGCGUAAAGCGAGUGUAGGUGGCUCAUUAAGUCACAUGUGAAAUCCCCGGGCUUAACCUGGGAACUGCAUGUGAUACUGGUGGUGCUAGAAUAUGUGAGAGGGAAGUAGAAUUCCAGGUGUAGCGGUGAAAUGCGUAGAGAUCUGGAGGAAUACCGAUGGCGAAGGCAGCUUCCUGGCAUAAUAUUGACACUGAGAUUCGAAAGCGUGGGUAGCAAACAGGAUUAGAUACCCUGGUAGUCCACGCCGUAAACGAUGUCUACUAGCCGUUGGGGUCCUUGAGACUUUAGUGGCGCAGUUAACGCGAUAAGUAGACC